Molecule: ribosomal RNA, 1794 nt
Filed under: Ochromonas sp. CCMP1393
Lineage: Eukaryota; Chrysophyceae; Chromulinales; Chromulinaceae
Description: partial Bacterial large subunit ribosomal RNA
Rfam family: Bacterial large subunit ribosomal RNA
Source: RNAcentral
AAGCAAAUAAGGGCGUAUGGGGGAUGCCUUGGCUCUAAGAGACGACGAAGGACGUGGUAAGCUGCGAAAAGUUACGGGGAGAUGCAAACAAUUUUUGAUCCGUAAAUGUCCGAAUGGGGAAACCCUCUAUGUUGAAGACAUAGAAUACACGUAAGUGUAAGAAAACCCGGGGAACUGAAACAUCUAAGUACCUGGAGGAAAAUAUAACAAUAGUUAUUCCGCAAGUAGUGGCGAGCGAACGCGGAACAGCCCUAAAGCUUAUAUAUAAUUAGCAGAAUCUUCUGGAAAGUUGAACGAUACAAGGUGAUAGUCCUGUAAGCGAAAAUUAUAUACAAGUUAUUCGAGUAUGGCGGAGCCGGUGAAACUCUGUCUGAAUAUAGCAGCACCAUCUGCUAAGGCUAAAUACUACUUAGAGACCGAUAGCGAACCAGUACUGUGAAGGAAAGGUGAAAAGAACCCUAAGAAAGGGAGUGAAAAGAACCUGAAACCAUACGCUUACAAGCGGUCGGAGCCUACGGGUGACGGCGUGCCUUUUGCAUAAUGAUCCUACGAGUUACUCCUCACUAGCAAGUUUAAGUACUUCAGGUACGUAGGCGUAGCGAAAGCGAGUCUGAAUAGGGCGUUUGUCAGUGUUUAUAGACCCGAACCCGGGUGAUCUAACCAUGGCCAGGAUGAAGCUUGGGUGAUACCAAGUGGAGGUCCGAACCGACUGAUGUUGAAAAAUCAGCGGAUGAGCUGUGGUUAGGGGUGAAAUGCCAAUCGAACCCGGAGCUAGCUGGUUCUCCCCGAAAUACGUUGAGGCGUAGCGUCUCGUGCUCCAGCAGGGGGGUAAAGCCACCAUUUCGGUGCGGGCUGCGAGAGCGGUACCAAAUCGAGAUGAACUCUGAAUACCCUGUGUGUAGCGAGGCAGUCAGACUGUGGGGGAUAAGCUCCAUGGUCGAGAGGGAAACAGCCCAGACCGCCAGCUAAGGUCCCCAAAUCAACACUAAGUGAUAAAGGAGGUGGGAUUGCCCAGACAACCAGGAGGUUUGCCUAGAAGCAGCCAUCCUCAAAGGAGUGCGUAAUAGCUCACUGGUCGAGCGAUCCUGCGCCGAAAAUGAAUGGGGCUAAGUGUUGUACCGAAGCUGCGGAUUUAUGGUAGGGGAGCGUUCUAUGUGGGGCGAAGCGUUAGCGUGAGCGGGCGUGGACUGCAUAGAAGUGAGAAUGUCGGCUUGAGUAGCGAAAACAUGGGUGAGAAUCCCAUGCACCGAAACCCUAAGGGUUCCUCCGGCAGGCUCGUCCGCGGAGGGUUAGUCUGGACCUAAGGCGAGGCCGAAAGGCGUAGUCGAUGGACAGCAGAUUAAUAUUUCUGCCCCGCUUUUGUGGAGUGAUGGGGUGACGCAUUAGGAUAGGCCAACCGGAGCUAUGGCUAUGCCCGGCGGGUAACGAAGCUUUUCAGGAUAGGAAAAUCCGCCUGAUACUAGAGUGACGUUAUUCGGGAAGGCCCCAAGGGGCUGAUAACUGGUUGAAUCCACGGUGCCAAGAAAAACCUCUAAACGUUGAAGCAAGAGCGCCCGUACCGAUAACCGACACAGGUGGGCGAGUGUAAAAGCACUAAGGCGCGCGAGAAAACUCUCUCUAAGGAACUCUGCAAAAUGGCCCCGUAACUUCGGGAGAAGGGGUCCCGUGUGUACCGUGAGGCAACUUGCGGGAGACGGGCACAGUAAAUCGGCUCUAGCGACUGUUUACCACAAUCACAGCACUCUGCAAACCCGCGUAGGGGACGUAUAGGGUGUGACACCUGCCCGGUGCCGG